GGAUGGAGGUGGGGAGGCUUCAGGAUGCAGGAAUGGGCUGUGAUUGUUCUCAGAGCUCAGGAAUUCAGGUGACUGAGGGUCUUCUGCAGACAGGAGUCAGAUCCAUCAGUCCUGAUUAGUGCAAAUUUUCCUGAAGCUUUUGGGCAUAAUCUGGUAAGCAAUUCAGCAGAUAAACAAGGACAGCUGCCUACAAGUCAACCAUGGUGCACCUCAGCUGACAGUGAGGGAUGCCGUUUCAGAAGACUGACUGUGCUUGAGAUUUUUAUAAAUAAGGACCCCUUUCCUCACUUCAAACUCCCAAAAAUGUCUGAGUUGUGGAAAUGGUUGGAAGUUGAGUCCGUCAGCUGGCAGAGGCCUGGAAGACACCAGCCCUCUCACCAGACCCUAUGCAGAGUUGUGGUUUUCCAGGAAGCAUUAGGGGCCAAGAGCACAGAGCUGUGGCAUGAAGGGAUCCAGGAAAAGGUGGAAGAAACAGCCAGGCAAGAAAGUACAAGUUCAUGUCAGCACUCCAGCGCCCUGCUCACUCCUGCUCAAGUGAGCUGACCUGCUACUGCCAGAAUGUUGCCUGGCUCCCUGAGUCACACAGAACAUCUGAAGAGGCAGUGUGGCAAAGGAAGUUAUUUUAGGUUGUUGUAAUAAUGGAAAGCUGACCAACAGAGGAUCAAACAAGUUCCGCUGCGAUGUUUUAGGACCUCAGCUGAGCACUCUUUCCUCUGCCUGAGGAGACCCAGCCUGGCCUCAGCAUGGCUUGUUAUCAUGCUGUUUUUUAUCAACUUAGCACCUGAGCGGCAUGGACACAGCCUUCUUUGAGGCUGUUGCCUUCAUUUCCCCUGAUUAAAAUUAUGUUGGUUAGAG
This 855-nucleotide long non-coding RNA is filed under the name Heterocephalus glaber (naked mole-rat). RNAcentral's name for it is "lncRNA (ENSHGLG00100032616.2)". Lineage: Eukaryota; Metazoa; Chordata; Mammalia; Rodentia; Bathyergidae. The record is from RNAcentral.